Molecule: long non-coding RNA, 945 nt
Organism: Magallana angulata
Lineage: Eukaryota; Metazoa; Mollusca; Bivalvia; Ostreida; Ostreidae
Exons: 2
Source: RefSeq, a predicted model, not a curated record
CUGACUUUCAUUGAUGGUUUUCAUGCAGGUACAAGAAACAUCCCACGCCACAGAGAUACCUUCUGAAGCAGGAGAGUCCAGCCGCCCAAACAGAUAUCCGGGUAUUCUUGCCUUCCGGGUUCUUCAAUGAUUCAUGCAGAUCCCUGCACGCUAGAGUUUUGUCAUCACGUGACUGUAACAGCAUGACGUCAUACUUGACCGUGUGUGUGAAUGAACACUGUAGUGUAGCCAGUCAUAUUUUGAAUGCAUAGUCAAAAAUAAUCAAAAGUGAGUAGGAAAAAACACAUGAACAUUAUUCUGAUUCCUACCUACGCUGGAGAGAUUUGGUAUCAGUUUGACGUUGCAGGUAUGAUCAGGUUUUCCCAAUAAUCUAACCAAGGAGGUCUAUUUCCGUUUCGAAGUAAGUGACACACAACUAAAGAACAUGCACGUACGCAUAACAUUUUACUUAACGUCUAGUACCUUUAUGUACGCGUGCAUUUGUAAUAAUUCUAUAUUUUCUACAUUUCAUUUCUUACCAACGAUGAUAGUAAUUGAAAUCCCAAAACCAAUGGUAAAACAGUGUGAUCUCUUUUUCUUUUUGCAGUAAAGUUCAUAUCGUGUUUGGCCUUCAUCGCCAUUCAAGUAAUCAAAUUGGUAAUCUAAUAUCUAAAUAGGAGCAAACAAAGUUUUUAUGAUAUCUGACAAUGCUGAAGCAAACGAGGUUUAUAUAUUUGAAACUUUCCAUUUUGGUUGCUUAACGUAGGGGACUGUAAGACGUGGAUCUAUAAGGUAAGAAAGUAAAACAAAUGUGUAAUAACUGGCAUAUACGUCAGAUUAUUUUAUCAAAUAUGAGACAAAGAGAGACAAACAGUUUUAAGGUAAGAACAACCAUCUACUUAAAUGUAUUAUGCAUCUUGAUCUGUGUACAUGAAAGUGAAACGAAUAAAACAAUCAUUGCCAAUA